Molecule: long non-coding RNA, 229 nt
Filed under: Solanum tuberosum (potato)
Lineage: Eukaryota; Viridiplantae; Streptophyta; Magnoliopsida; Solanales; Solanaceae
Description: long non-coding RNA (STUB_LNC008456)
Source: RNAcentral
AGAUGAGCAAUAUUUGAUCUCUUUUAUGCAUCAUUGUCUACUGCCUGUUUCGAGUUGUAUUAUUAUUUGUUUUUUCAUGAUUCUUAGAUAACAUAUCUAGGUAUUGAAUGCAUUGUUCAAAAUCCAUGCUCAUCUGCUUCUUGGUGAUCUGCUUGUGUUCAAAGUGAAGAGUGUUGAUUUAGUAUACAAGUUACAACAAAUUUGAUUAUUUUGUGAUUUGCCUUGCUUG